Transfer RNA from Rhodoferax sp., 82 nucleotides. It matches the Rfam family "tRNA". Rfam says of the family: Transfer RNA (tRNA) molecules are approximately 80 nucleotides in length. The record is from Rfam. NCBI's taxonomy places the organism in Bacteria, Pseudomonadati, Pseudomonadota, Betaproteobacteria, Burkholderiales, Comamonadaceae.
GCCCGGGUGGUGAAAUUGGUAGACGCAGGGGACUCAAAAUCCCCCACCGAAAGGUGUGCCGGUUCGAUUCCGGCCCCGGGCA